GUGCCGUAACUCUUCUGUUCUGGGCGAUACCAAGUUCAAUUUUAACGAAGCUCUUUUAGUUCCAAGAAACAGACACAGCCAGACCAGUCUGAAAAUUUUUAUUUUCUGAAAAAUGUAACUUGUAAGAACACACGUAGAGCAAAAGGGAGAAACUUGGAAAUUUUUACGCAAAAAACACCUAAGUAAAACCAUUCUUGAAAGGACACAUGAACAAAUUGAACCAGUCAGAGGGGAAAGAUCAGGAUGAUGAAGUGACUCAGAAAUCAGGAUGUCCCUCUUCAUGGAGAGCUGCCUGAAGCUGAGAAGGGUGCGACGGACCUGAAGGCUGCACAGCGCCGGGUCUUACCCAAGGCUCAAGGUGACCGCUGCCUGGUUUCUGCUGGUGUUUAUUCAAAGCCCAAGGGCUCUCCAGUCAGCAAGUGGUGAAUCUAGUCAGACAUGUGUCCUACGCUUCAGGGCAAUGAGCUUCCCCUCAGCCUAAGAUUCCAUUAUGACAUUAGUCUCUGGUCACAAUUAUCUGAAGCCUUGCAGGAUGCACCAUUCCACUUCAUCCUGUCUUCAUCACAAGAAGAAAAGUGAGUAAAGUACAAUAAGAUAUUUAGAGAGAAA
RNAcentral lists this long non-coding RNA (609 nucleotides) under Homo sapiens (human). RNAcentral's name for it is "HSALNT0364704". The record is from RNAcentral. Lineage: Eukaryota; Metazoa; Chordata; Mammalia; Primates; Hominidae.